UCGAACCCAACACCUCUACCU
RNAcentral lists this non-coding RNA (21 nucleotides) under Arabidopsis thaliana (thale cress). The record is from RNAcentral. Lineage: Eukaryota; Viridiplantae; Streptophyta; Magnoliopsida; Brassicales; Brassicaceae.